Molecule: long non-coding RNA, 495 nt
Organism: Mangifera indica (mango)
Lineage: Eukaryota; Viridiplantae; Streptophyta; Magnoliopsida; Sapindales; Anacardiaceae
Exons: 4
Source: RefSeq, a predicted model, not a curated record
ACUCUGGUUACUUGCUGAUAUCCCGAGCUCGACCAAAAAGCUUGUGGAUAUCAGUUCACAGGAGGAGGACGUCCAGGAGGAUGUUUAUGAGACCGUUGACAUUGAGCCUGUCGACGGAGCACGCGAUAUUGACUUUACCGUGAGUCAGCAUUCUCCGGUUAAACCUCCUCCCGCAUACGUACAGAAGUUGGUUCGUACUACACGUGGUCGAAUCGUCCGGAAGGGUCCACUGGUUCGCACCCCGUAUACAAAUCCACUCAGAGGGAGGGCGAAACGGCAACUCACGACGAUUUCAUCCUCUGCGGCAGACCGUGAGGAAUCUUUCCUCACAUGGUAUACCAGAGCUGCGCCUUCUGACACACAUGAUGUGUACUUCAUAGGAUCGAAGACGAAAGACAGCUUCUGGAGGCUUGUUGUAGAGUUACGCGAGUGGUUGACCGACGAUCAUGUGGAUUCCUUUUUGGCUUUAUUACGUCGGCAGCAGGACGAUCACCA